Molecule: ribosomal RNA, 405 nt
Filed under: uncultured Brevundimonas sp.
Lineage: Bacteria; Pseudomonadati; Pseudomonadota; Alphaproteobacteria; Caulobacterales; Caulobacteraceae
Description: bacterial SSU rRNA
Rfam family: Bacterial small subunit ribosomal RNA
Source: RNAcentral
GUGGGGAAUCUUGCGCAAUGGGCGAAAGCCUGACGCAGCCAUGCCGCGUGAAUGAUGAAGGUCUUAGGAUUGUAAAAUUCUUUCACCGGGGACGAUAAUGACGGUACCCGGAGAAGAAGCCCCGGCUAACUUCGUGCCAGCAGCCGCGGUAAUACGAAGGGGGCUAGCGUUGCUCGGAAUUACUGGGCGUAAAGGGCGCGUAGGCGGACAUUUAAGUCAGGGGUGAAAUCCCAGAGCUCAACUCUGGAACUGCCUUUGAUACUGGGUGUCUUGAGUGUGAGAGAGGUAUGUGGAACUCCGAGUGUAGAGGUGAAAUUCGUAGAUAUUCGGAAGAACACCAGUGGCGAAGGCGACAUACUGGCUCAUUACUGACGCUGAGGCGCGAAAGCGUGGGGAGCAAACAGG